AGCUAUCUUGUAGGGUCCUUCUCAGUUCGAAGCCAACUUUCUCUGAUCUAGAGGCUUCGAAACUUCUGCCUUUCUUAAGACCAGGUCCCCGGGCCUAAAAAGCUUCAGCUUAACCUUGGUGUUAUAGUAUCGGGCCACUCUCUGUUGAUAGGAAGCCAUGUGGAGUUGAGCCUCGCAUCGGAGUUCGGGUAAGAGGUCC
Molecule: long non-coding RNA, 199 nt
Filed under: Elaeis guineensis (African oil palm)
Lineage: Eukaryota; Viridiplantae; Streptophyta; Magnoliopsida; Arecales; Arecaceae
Description: long non-coding RNA (EGUI_LNC020805)
Source: RNAcentral